UUCGAUGAAUAAGACCAUACAAUUGGGGGGGAAUAACAAACAACUGUCAUAGGUGGUGAAAGACAAGCUCUAUCAACACAACAAAUGUUUUAGCCUCAGCAUCAAAUGAACAUUAUGUCAUGUUGACAAUUGGCUCUAUCACAACUAAAGCACAAAAUAUUUGGAAUGAUUGCAAGCACUUAAUACGAUAAAGAAAUCAACCUCAGUGUUCCAAAGCGGUAGGUAAAAAUUGGAAAAAGAACCAAGCAUCCACCAAGCUAGAGAAGACAACGACAAAACCAUCCCUAAAAUAAUUUGCAAAAGUAAUACUAUAUGCAUAAGCAAGACAAAAAAAAACGUGUUACAAGAGUAGAAAAAAACUUUUAAAAGUGAAGACUUAUUAAAUAAUCAAAGACAAACAAAAAAAUGUAAAAUUUAAGACAAUACUGGUCCAAACCAUUUUGUGAAAUCAUUUAUUAUUCUAAAAGACUUUCAAAACUGAAACAGAUUAAAAAGCAAACGAAAAGUCACCCACUUUCUAAGAGAAACUGCUGAUGGUCGGUGGAGUUUCAGCGACAAUAAAUACCAUCAUUUCCCCAUUAUAACUUGUGAAGACAACAAAGAUACCUACAAAAUAAAUCUGCAAACUAAAAGAGAAAAUGCAUAUGGAGUGAAUGAGGAGAAAAAAAAGAAAAAGAAGGUUGAAGAGAGGGAGAAAAAGGUGGGUGAUAGGCCCGAAAACUAACAUCGCCGCUGAGUAAAACAAAACAAAAGAAAACAAGCAAAAAUUUUUUGAAAGAAAAAAGAACAAUAUUUUUAAGGAUUUUCUCCACUUAACU
Molecule: long non-coding RNA, 818 nt
Filed under: Gossypium barbadense (sea-island cotton)
Lineage: Eukaryota; Viridiplantae; Streptophyta; Magnoliopsida; Malvales; Malvaceae
Description: long non-coding RNA (GBAR_LNC007557)
Source: RNAcentral